GCGCGUACGUGGGCGCUAGGUGUGGGUCCAUUCCCGGGAUCCGUGCCGCAGCUAACGCAUUACCCCGCCCCGCCUGGGGAGUACGGCCGCAAGGCUAAAACUCAAAGGAAUUGACGGGGGCCCGCACAAGCGGCGGAGCAUGCGGAUUAAUUCGAUGCAACGCGAAGAACCUUACCAAGGCUUGACAUGCACCGGACGACUGCAGAGAUGUGGUUUCCCUUUGUGGCUGGUGCACAGGUGGUGCAUGGUUGUCGUCAGCUCGUGUCGUGAGAUGUUGGGUUAAGUCCCGCAACGAGCGCAACCCUCGUUCUAUGUUGCCAGCGGUUCGGCCGGGGACUCAUAGGAGACUGCCGGGGUCAACUCGGAGGAAGGUGGGGAUGACGUCAAAUCAUCAUGCCCCUUACGUCUUGGGCUUCACGCAUGCUACAAUGGCCGGUACAAAGGGCUGCGAUCCCGUGAGGGGGAGCGAAUCCCAGAAAGCCGGUCUCAGUUCGGAUUGGGGUCUGCAACUCGACCCCAUGAAGUCGGAGUCGCUAGUAAUCGCAGAUCAGCAACGCUGCGGUGAAUACGUUCCCGGGCCUUGUACACACCGCCCGUCAAGUCACGAAAGUCGGUAACACCCGAAGCCGGUGGCCCAACCCCUUGUGGGAGGGAGCUGUCCAACGUGGGACUGGUGAUUGG
RNAcentral lists this ribosomal RNA (681 nucleotides) under uncultured Kribbia sp. RNAcentral describes it as "bacterial SSU rRNA". It matches the Rfam family "Bacterial small subunit ribosomal RNA", at positions 800 to 1478 of the family's 1533-position model. The record is from RNAcentral. Lineage: Bacteria; Bacillati; Actinomycetota; Actinomycetes; Micrococcales; Intrasporangiaceae.